This 329-nucleotide unclassified non-coding RNA is filed under the name Hevea brasiliensis (rubber tree). Lineage: Eukaryota; Viridiplantae; Streptophyta; Magnoliopsida; Malpighiales; Euphorbiaceae. The record is from RNAcentral.
GAUGAAACAAGUGGUUUUUACUUAUUGUAGUAAUUGAUUUUUCUGUUUUAAGAUAUCAAGUAACACAGCAAGUAUGCUUUAAUGUUGACAAUUAGUCACCAAAAACCAAAACCAACAUCCAUAGUCAAAAACUUGCCGCAAAUAAGUAUAGGUCUAUUAGUAUUACUCUUGCUUGGAACACUUUGUGUCAUUGCUUAUGGAGGGCUUACUGCAUUGGCUAUGUUUAUUAAACAUUUUUCCCUUUUUUUUCUCUACCAUUCAAAUUUGAUACAUCUGGCGAGUUUUUCUAAUAUCCUUCUAGAAAAAUUAUGGUGAGUUUUUAGUGCUAU